Molecule: long non-coding RNA, 624 nt
Organism: Hyla sarda
Lineage: Eukaryota; Metazoa; Chordata; Amphibia; Anura; Hylidae
Exons: 3
Source: RefSeq, a predicted model, not a curated record
GCGUGUCACACAUGUGAUGUCAUAACCAUUUUCCACCAAAGAGCAGCACUGAGCAGAAAUAACACUGCUCCUGUUCAUUCUUCAUCAGAAAGGGGCCGGUGCUGGACACUGUGUAGGGACGAGGGAAUGCAAAGUCAUACACAUGACUGUGACUGAUGCACUAUUUCCAGGACAUGGAGUAGCAUUUCCGGACCUACAGCAAGACGUUGGAUGAAGGCAUAGCCCCAGAAAUAACACUGCUCAUGUUCAUCAGUGAGGGGCCGGUGCUGGACACUGUGUAGGGACACGGGAAUGCAAAGUCAUGCACAUGACUGUGACUGAUGCACUAUUUCCAGGACAUGGAGUAGCAUUUCGGGACCUACAGCAAGACGUUGGAUGAAGGCACAGGCCUAGGAAUCAUGCACAUACACAGAAACAUUUGCCAAAUUAUAGAGGUAACCUCCUUUAGUAUGCCCAGAGGAAGGGCAAUACAGUAGCCAUGGAUUCCCUACAGGUUUCCUCCCCUCUGGAGGUUUUUCCUGUCCUGAGUAUUAGUUACUGUACGCUCUUUGUGAGUGAUGGGAGGUUACAAAACAUCCCCUACACAAACAUUUUAAUAAAUAAUAAAUAAAGUUCCACUUUUUU